GAUGAACGCUGGCGGCGUGCCUAAUACAUGCAAGUCGAGCGAACGGACGAGAAGCUUGCUUUUCUGAUGUUAGCGGCGGACGGGUGAGUAACACGUGGAUAACCUACCUAUAAGACUGGGAUAACUUCGGGAAACCGGAGCUAAUACCGGAUAAUAUUUUGAACCGCAUGGUUCAAAAGUGAAAGACGGUCUUGCUGUCACUUAUAGAUGGAUCCGCGCUGCAUUAGCUAGUUGGUAAGGUAACGGCUUACCAAGGCAACGAUGCAUAGCCGACCUGGGAGGGUGGUCGGCCACACUGGAACUGAGACACGGUCCAGACUCCUACGGGAGGCAGCAGUAGGGAAUCUUCCGCAAUGGGCGAAAGCCUGACGGAGCAACGCCGCGUGAGUGAUGAAGGUCUUCGGAUCGUAAAACUCUGUUAUUAGGGAAGAACAUAUGUGUAAGUAACUGUGCACAUCUUGACGGUACCUAAUCAGAAAGCCACGGCUAACUACGUG
Molecule: ribosomal RNA, 497 nt
Filed under: uncultured bacterium
Lineage: Bacteria
Description: partial 16S ribosomal RNA
Rfam family: Bacterial small subunit ribosomal RNA
Source: RNAcentral